GCUUAACACAUGCAAGUCGAACGAAGUAGCAAUACUUAGUGGCAGACGGGUGAGUAACAUGUAGGUAUCUGCCCUUUGGCCUGGAAUAACACGAGGAAACUUGUGCUAAUACCGGAUAAGUCUUUACGGAGAAAGCUUUAUGCACCAUUGGAUGAGCCUGCACUUGAUUAGUUUGUUGGUGGGGUAAUGGCCUACCAAGACUGUGAUCAAUAGCUGAUUUGAGAGGAUGAUCAGCCACAUUGGGACUGAGACACGGCCCAAACUCCUACGGGAGGCAGCAGUGGGGAAUCUUGCACAAUGGAGGAAACUCUGAUGCAGCGAUGCCGCGUGAGUGAAGAAGGCCCUUGGGUUGUAAAGCUCUUUCGUCGGGGAAGAAAAUGACUGUACCCGAAUAAGAAGGUCCGGCUAACUUCGUGCCAGCAGCCGCGGUAAUA
RNAcentral lists this ribosomal RNA (434 nucleotides) under uncultured bacterium. RNAcentral describes it as "bacterial SSU rRNA". It matches the Rfam family "Bacterial small subunit ribosomal RNA", at positions 46 to 525 of the family's 1533-position model. The record is from RNAcentral.